AUACGGAGGAUGCAAGCGUUAUCCGGAUUUAUUGGGUUUAAAGGGUGCGUAGGCGGACUAUUAAGUCAGUGGUGAAAUCCUGCAGCUUAACUGCAGAACUGCCAUUGAUACUGAUAGACUUGAGUUUGGUUAAGGUAGGCGGAAUGUGUAAUGUAGCGGUGAAAUGCUUAGAUAUUACACAGAACACCAAUUGCGUAGGCAGCUUACUGAGCCGAUACUGACGCUGAGGCACGAAAGCGUGGGGAUCGAACAGGAUUAGAUACCCUGGUAGUCCACGCCGUAAACGAUGAUUACUCGCUGUUGGCGAUACACAGUCAGCGGCUAAGCAAAAGCAAUAAGUAAUCCACCUGGGGAGUACGGCCGCAAGGUUGAAACUCAAAGGAAUUGACGGGG
This 393-nucleotide ribosomal RNA is filed under the name uncultured bacterium. RNAcentral describes it as "partial 16S ribosomal RNA". It matches the Rfam family "Bacterial small subunit ribosomal RNA", at positions 523 to 918 of the family's 1533-position model. The record is from RNAcentral.